CUUCAGCAUUCUAUGAAGUGCUGGUUUAUUUUUAAAGUUACUUCAACAUAAAAAUAGUCAUUUAAUUAGAAUAUAUUUGGUACAAAUUAAUGCAGGCAUCUGAAAAGGAAGGUGCCAAAUGUGAUUCAACCAUUCCUUCAAAAAAGCCAAAGCCUUCAAAAAUGCUCGAAGCAUCUUCAGAACAUCAGGGCAGUUGAGUAUUUUUCAAUUAAGUUGCAUGAAUACCUCUCCAUUUUCCUAUCCCUGUUUAACUGAUAAAUCAACUUGCUUAUAAUUAAGCAGGAUUUCUAAAGGUACACUAUCCCAAAUCCAUUUUAAUAUUGUAAAGAACUCAUACCCCAUGUGCAUUGUCAUUUGGAAUAAUGAAUACGUUGCUAUGGUAAACUCUUGCCUUCUGCAAGACAUGAGCUUUUGUUCCAGUAUUUAAUAUAUAGGAUUAAAAAAACGCUUUAUACAGAAAUCUAAAUGCAAAAUGGCUGAAUACAGAGAGAAGGGAAAGUUCCUACCUAGACCUUAAGGCCAUUAACAACAGUACAACAUGCUCUGAUGAUAAUUGAAAGGAACUAAAACUCUGCUGUGUACAAACUAGAGAUAACUCUCACAGAUGCUCACCAUGUGCAGAAUGUUCUCAAAUAUAUGCUUCCUCUGUGUCUCAGCAAUUUGUUUUUAGUUUCAACAGCUCUCUGUAUCAGAUGUGGAUGGUUUCAUUGAGAUUGGGGAGCUCUUUUUAAAAUUUUCAAAUGAAUGAACUGAUGAAUGGAAGCCACCAGAUUCACAAACUUGCCUUUGUGUACACCAGCUAGAUUCUACCAGAUUUCCAGAUGUGGAUUUUGCACCGUGUGAAAGAUCAAACAAAAGCACGAAAAUUAACAGGCUCAACUGAGGAUUCCUCCUUCCUUGUGGGUACAUGCUUUUGGAAUGGAUUUGCCUUGGCGCUCUGCCAAACCCUGACUCCAGUAAGUUCAGGCACAUACGUUGCAAGAUCUGCCAGUGGAGAUGCAAGCUAACAAACCAUUUUAGCCAUUCUGGAUCUUGAAGCAAAGUUCCAUAGGGCUCCAUG
Lacerta agilis (Sand lizard) is the source of this 1060-nucleotide long non-coding RNA. RefSeq lists it as uncharacterized. The record is from RefSeq and is a predicted model, not a curated record. The transcript has 4 exons. NCBI's taxonomy places the organism in Eukaryota, Metazoa, Chordata, Lepidosauria, Squamata, Lacertidae.